GACGAACGCUGGCGGCGUGCUUAACACAUGCAAGUCGAACGGAAAGGCCUCUUUCGGGGGGUACUCGAGUGGCGAACGGGUGAGUAACACGUGAGUAACCUGCCCUUGACUUUGGGAUAACUUCAGGAAACUGGGGCUAAUACCGGAUAGGAGCUCCUGCUGCAUGGUGGGGGUUGGAAGGUUUCGGCGGUUGGGGAUGGACUCGCGGCUUAUCAGCUUGUUGGUGGGGUAGUGGCUUACCAAGGCUUUGACGGGUAGCCGGCCUGAGAGGGUGACCGGCCACAUUGGGACUGAGAUACGGCCCAGACUCCUACGGGAGGCAGCAGUGGGGAAUAUUGCACAAGGGGUGGAAGCCUGAUGCAGCAACGCCGUGUGCGGGAUGACGGCCUUCGGGUUGUAAACCGCUUUCGCUCAUGACGAAGCUUUGUGUGACGGUAGUGGGUAAAGAAGCACCGGCUAACUACGUG
Molecule: ribosomal RNA, 467 nt
Filed under: uncultured bacterium
Lineage: Bacteria
Description: partial 16S ribosomal RNA
Rfam family: Bacterial small subunit ribosomal RNA
Source: RNAcentral